Bombus impatiens (common eastern bumble bee) is the source of this 535-nucleotide long non-coding RNA. RefSeq lists it as uncharacterized. The transcript has 2 exons. The record is from RefSeq and is a predicted model, not a curated record. Lineage: Eukaryota; Metazoa; Arthropoda; Insecta; Hymenoptera; Apidae.
AGCAACCGUACCGCAGCCUAACAGCUGAUUGGUCGUUCACUUCAGUUCCGAAAGUGACCCAACCAAUUGGCUGGCAUCUUAAAAGAAUCUACGCCAGAGCAUAUGUGGAGUAACAAAGGAGCCGUUUAAAUGUAAACGCGAGAUCAGUCACGUAGUUACAUCAUGAGGCUUCCACAUGAUCUUUCGAAAUGUUCUGGCCCUUUGGAUGACCUCCAUAGAACGUCACUAAUAACUUUCGUUGCUGUGUCAAGAUGCUUCAAAAGGAGAAGCCGGUGUUAGCUCGUCGCUAGACGCCGAGCAAAUUCAUAUUUUUAUGGACACGAAUAAAAAGAUGGAUCGAUGACAGAUAGUACAAAGAAUACUUUGCCUAAUAUUUACCUAACACUUUGUAUGUUUCGCACAUUAUGUAAAUUCUGCAUAAGUUCAUUUAAGUUUCACAUAAAUGCAUGAGUAUUUACGGUCUGUUUAUCGUCAUACAGUAGCUACAGAAAGUAUUUGUACGUACUCUUUCAUUUUUCAAUUAAAUGUUCCUUAA